GGCAGUGACAGUCAGGGAUGGUCAGCAUACACUUAAGUAAAAGAUAAAGUCUUUCAUGCGUACUGAAAACUAACCAUGGAUACUUGAGGCUGAUAGAACCAAGCAUGGACACUGGUAAAUCCAACCCUGGAUGUUGAUAGAAACAACCAUGGAUGCUGAUAGAACCUACUGUAUAAGCCGAUAUAACCAACAUUGGACAAUAUCAUAACUUACCAUGGGCAGUGAAAGAAUUGAAGAAUUGACCAAAGGCAGUAAAUAAUGCAGGAACGAGUUCAAGGAUCCCCUACAUCUCUACAUAGAGGGACACGCAAACAGCCACAUCAUAUUCCUGAGGACCUUUACAUCUCUACAAGGAGGGACACACAAACAGACACAUCAAAUUCCUGAGGACCUUUACAUAUCUACUAGGAGGGACACAUAAACAGACACAUCAUAUUCCUGAGGACCUUUACAUCUCAACAUAAAUGGUCACACAAACAGCCACAUCAUAUUCCUGAGGACCUUUACAUCUCAACAAUGAGGGACACACAAACACCCACAUCAUAUUCCUGAGGACCUUUACAUCUCAAUAUAGAGGGACACACAAACAGACGCAUCAUAUUCCCGAGGACCUUUUCAUCUCUACACGGAGGAACACACAAACAGCCACAUCAUAUUCCUGAGGACCUUUACAUCUCAACAAUGAGGGACACACAAACAGCCACAUCAUAUUCCUGAGGACCUUUACUUCUCAACAAUGAGGGACACACAAACAGCCACAUCAUAUUCCUGAGGACCUUUACAUCUCAAUAUAGAGGGACACACAAACAGCCACAUCAUAUUCCUGAGGACCUUUACAUCUCAAUAUAGAGGGACACACAAACAGCCACAUCAUAUUCCUGAGGACCUUUACAUCUCAAUAUAGAGGGACACACAAACAGCCGCAUCAUAUUCCCGAGGACCUUUACAUCUCUACACGGAGGAACACACAAACAGCCACAUCAUAUUCCUGAGGACCUUUACUUCUCAACCUAAAGGGUCACACAAACAGCCAAAUCGUAUUCCUGAGGACCUUUACAUCUCUACAAGGAGGGACACACAAACAGCCACAUCAUAUUCCUGAGGACCUUUACAUCUCAAAAUAGAGGGACACACAAACAAUCACGUCAUAUUCCUGAGGACCUUUACAACUCAAAAUAGAGGGACACACAAACAGACACAUCAUAUUCCUGAGGACCUUUACAUCUCAAAAUAGAGGGACACACAAACAGCCACAUCAUAUUCCUGAGGAUCUUUACAUCUCUACAAGGAGGGACACACAAACAGCCACAUCGUAUUCAUGAGGACCUUUACAUUUCUACAAGGAGGGACACACAAACGGCCACAUCAUAUUCCUGAGGAUCUUUACAUCUCAAAAUAGAGGGACACACAAACAGCCACAUCAUAUUCCUGAAAACCUUUACAUCUCAACAUAGAGGAACAGAUAAACAGCCACAUCAUAUUCCUGAGGACCUUUACAAGUCAAAAUAGAGGGACACACAAACAGCCACUUCGUAUUCCUGAAGAUCUUUACCUCUCAACGUAGAGGGACACACAAACAGCCACAUCAAAUUCCUGAGGACCUUUACAUCUCAACAUAGAGGGACACACAACAGCCACAUCAUGUUCCUGGAGACCUUUACAUCUCAAUAUUUAGUGACACACAAACAGCCAUAUCAUAUUCCUGAUGACCUUUCAGCAAAUUGAGUUAUUGUCCUGUGUUACGUUUCUUGAUCAGAAUCAUUUUUGAAAACUACAGGAUGUAUUUCAACUACUGUCUACACACCACAGUUAAGCACAAUGAGAAUAAGUAGAGUGUACAAGAAACUGUUAAAGCUACUAACAGAUCGUUUGCCCUUUGUAACUUUUUCAUAACCAACUGGCUCCGAUUUCUCGAAACUACUUAAGUUUUACAGGCUUAAGUAGCUUAUUUCAAAAUGCCAAAAUAUAUACUUAACUAGAUUUUGAUAAAUCAUAAAAACCUCUUCUGAUAAUCAUGAUGAUAAUUCCUUUCUCAAGUAUAAAAUAUCUUAAAGAAGUAAACAUUACGCAAUUUAUUGAAAUCCAAACAUAGUGAGCUUAGCUUAAUCCUGUUUAAAGGGACUUCAGAAGAUUCGAGAAUUCGGGGCCAGAGCAUUUCUUUAACAUUUCUAGAUCAAAUUCAGUGGAGCUUCAUUCAAUGAUAGAAUUGAAUGAGAGUAAGUAUAUUAUAUAAGAACUAUUAGUCAAGUUAAGCUUUUCGCAGUUAUUGCCAUGUAUGACAUUUUUCCUUGUCCAUAACUUAAAAAUACUUGUUAGAACUUAAUUAAACUACAUACAAUUGUAAAGCACAGUGAUGGUUAGAACUUAAUUAAACUACAUACAAUUGUAAAGCACAGUGAUAGGAAGUAAAGUAUACAUAACACUAUUAUACCUUAUAAAGAUGGCAUUAUUCCCCUGUCCGGAACAUAACUACUUGAUGAAACUUUAUGAAACUUUUUUUAAAGCACAAUGAGCGGAAAUGCACUGUAUGAAAAGCAUAACUCUAUUUCAGCUCAGUGCAGAGCUACUGCCCUUUGUCACUUUUUUUGUUCGGAAAACUUAAAUACUACUCGAUGGAAUUUAAAUAACAACUCUUUUUUAGGGAAUAUUAGAAUAAUAAUGAAUGCUUCACUUGUUUCCCUAGCGCCGGCUGGUGUCUCAGUUUGUUGAAGGAUUUGCAUAAUAGCAACAAUACAUUCAAGAUCUAAGCAAGUAUAUCUUGUAUUGAUUGAAAAAAAAUAUAUGUGUUCCCAACAUAACUUAAUAAUUAUUAAUGAUUCUGUUUGAUUAUACGUAUAGGAAAACAAAGCAAAUUAUGGACAUUUUUCUUUUGACAUGGACAUUCUGAUUAAGGUUUUGCAUGUAAGCACACACAUCAGCCAUUAGUUGAUGCAUUGAUUGUAUUUCGACUUUAUACAAUGAUACUCAACCGUUCAUCCCAAUCAAAUAACCAAGUUUAUUUGUGACAUUUGUACUCAACUAUCCAACCUCUGAUUAGGCCAAUUUUAUAGUUCUUUUGGGUUGAUUAUGGCUUGUACGUCAAAACAAAUUGUUUAAGUUGUGCAUGUAAGAAAACAUAGCAUACUUGAUAAAUUGCAUUGAAACUUAAUACAAAGGUACCAUACUGUCUUUUAAGUAGUGUUUGUUCCUUUUUUAUUCAAUUUCUUCCGUCUGGUUUAGGUUUUGCAUGUUAUCACAUUUAAUUCAAUAGCUCAGCACUUACAUCAUGUACUACACUUUAUAAAAAAAGACGCCCUAACAGUCAUAAUUUUGCUUACGGUUUUGCUUGUUAGCAUAAUCCAUGUAUUGUUUUGAAACCUUAUACAGUUUGCUCACUCUGGAUUGCAUAUAAUGCAAAUCUGGCAAAGUUCCUUGAGCUUAAGCUUUUGCGAUAGAGGGAUUGUUCGUCGUCAACAUUUUAUCGUAACAACAACUUUACCACUACGACAAGAUCAAUUAAACUCCGCAGGAAUGUUCCUUGGGUGGUUCUUAUCCAGAUUUCGAUAAAAGUGGUCCAAUUAAGGAACGGAUUGCGGAGUUGAUGUGUAUGUGGAGUCCGAAUGACUACACGUGUAAUUUGACCAGCCCAAUUGCGUUCAUAUCCCCGAUAAUGACAUCAACCCCGCAAUUAAUUCCUUACAUUUACACUAAUAGUUCAUUAUUUUAUUCAAGAAACGUUAAAAAUGUACUUCAUUUCAUUUCCGAUUAUCUUUCGGUAAUCCUUUCUUACCCAUUCUGUAAAUAGGACGACCCGACUGUUACCGGAAACAUUUUUUUAAAUGACGUCACAAUAACGGGAAAAGAUCAACCACUUUAAAUCACCUUUAAACGUAAAAUUGAAACACUUUUGGCAACAAAACGUUUAAAAUAUAAUAACUUAACAUUUUCUAAAAUGUUGAUUCAUAUUUUACGGGGCCUGCUGACACGAUACAAACAAUAACAAGAUCAAUAGUUUCCAUGUAUAUUGUUAUGCGAUGAAUUGCGAUCCGAACAUAUCCGAAGAUGUUGCGUUCAUCGAUUGAUGAACGCAAUUGCCGAAAGGCAGUUCAUUUAAGGAAUGGAAGUUGAGGUGUAAAUAUUAUUUACUAAACGGCCAAUUACGGCAGCCAUUUUGGUUUUCAUUAACUGAUUCGUUAACUUAACGACUGAUUUAACGGUUUCGUUAUCGUUAAAAUUUCCAACAACCGAAAUUUAGCGAAAUAAAUUAAACGAAGGUAUUUAAGGAAUUUUUAGCAAUUUUAGUCAUUUUAACGCUAAAUUUCAUCGUUAUGUAUUUAACGAAUGUUCCAACAACCGGGCCAAUAUGUUGUUCUGAACAGUUGUCAAUAUCGGUCACCUUAGGUCAAAAACUUAUCAUACAGGUUUUUUCAUAUGUAAUUUAAUUACAAUCCAUUUAUUGUUUAACAAUCAUUGAAUAUAUCAAAUUCAAACUUGAUUAAUUCAAGUUCUGAACAGUAACAAUGUGCUCUUUUGUACAAGUUAUAUAAUCCAACUUAAAUAAUGUAGGAGUUAUGGCCCCCUGUAGCUUUUUAAACAAGUAUACAUAGUUUGUCAGAAUGUGUUUGGGCAUUAUAGCUAAGACUAGUUUUAUAACCCAAAGAUAGUGUUUACCCAACAUUGUCAGCCAAUCAGGGGGCUAGAUUUUUAAAAUGUCUCGUUUCGUAUUUAUUAAGAAUCGUUACUUAAGACUGAAGACGGCUCUGCAGGAUUAAGUAAACUGCUAAUACUGUGCAUAUAGCCACGCAAAGCAGGUAAGUCUGCCCAGGUUUAAAAUCGCGGGGAAACUGUGACUCCUACUUAACCAGAGUACCGAUAUAUAUUGGAUAUUAUAAAGCUUAGAUAUUUAUCAGAACUGGAUGAACUGAUUAAUUUUGACUCCGACUAUGUUAAUACCACAUUUAUUGUCAAUAAUUACACAUAUUUCCUAAAAAUUCGAGUCAAUAGGUGAAAACAAUUUAUUUAGUGGUUAUUUGAGGAAGGUAACUACAUUGCAAUCUGCAUACUGUAGUAAUAGCCGUUACUUCCCUUUGCUGUGUCCUAAAAUACAUUAUAAGUGGGCAUGGAAAUAGUUCAAGAAUUUUGCUGUGAACAUUAACUGAGAGUAACAGUACUAUGAUUGACUUUCUGUGGCAUUACAGUUUUUAGGUUACAUAGCAUUAUGGGAAAGACGUCGACCUAUUCAAAACAAUACGUUCAAGUUCUAAACUUCAACCCUGUUUGAUUGUGCAAAAAUGUGGGAAACUGGCUUUCUUUAAUGGUUUGCUCAGUUUAAUGUGCUGUGAGGAAAUAUUCGGUAUGGGGUAAACAUUUAACUAAUGUAACAUUUUAAGUGUUUCUAAAAACGCGUCAUCACGGCGGCUAUUUAUAUGUAUGGACCGGCCUUGGAGAAACUAUUGGGACAGUCACUGUUUCAAUUUUCUUUUGAAAUACAGUCGAACCCCGAUUGCUCGAACUCGCUUAACUCGAAUUCCUCGUUUCAUCAAAGUGGGUGUAAAGGACCGAUAUCUUCAUACUGAUGAAAUAGCGAAAAAAAGAAAAUUGUCGAAAAUUGACAUAAUCUUGGUAUCGAUGUUUACAAUACAUUCAACUUACUUACUGAACUACCACAUGGUUUAUUAUUUAUUUUAUUUUUUUCGCAGUUUUUUUUUCAUAUUUUUUCCAUUUAAAUGAUUACUAUGUAUGUCUACCUAGUAGAAUUCAUAUCGUAUGCGUGAUUUGUUAGUCGAUGUUAUCACGUGAGAUUACCAAGUUAGGUAUAUGGCUUAAAUAUUCCAACAGUUUAUGGUAAGCCUUCGUAGCACAGUGGAUACAGCUCUUUGCUUCAAUUUCGGCGACACCGGUUUGAACCCGGUCCCCGACUUGAUUUUUAUCAGUUUGGUGUUUUAAGCUCACCUGUCACAUAGUGACAAGGUGAGCUUUUGUGAUCACAAUUUGUCCGGCGUCCGUCCGUAAACUUUUACUUUAAACGACAUCUCCUCAUAAACCGCUUAGCCAAUUUCAUCCAAACUUCACAGGAAUUUUCCUUGGGUGGUCCCCUUUGAAAAUUGUUCAAAGAAUUGAAUUCCAUGCAUAACUCUUGUUAUGAAAGCAAACAUCAAUAUUGACAUCGGCAGGUGACCUUUUGACCUACUUUCUUAUUCUUAAGCUAUAAUUUGGACCAUGUGUACAAAGGUCAAACACUUUCUCUCAGGUGAGCGAUAUAGGGCCAUCAUGGCCCUCUUGUUUACAAUUAUGAUAUCAAAGAGUAAAACAUUUAAUCUAAUAAUUCUCCUGAGAUUCCCUACAAAAACUUUUUUGUGCCAAUCUGAUGUACAUGUGCUUUAAGCGUUCUAGUUUGGUUCGAAUCACAGACCGCGAUGUAUGCAAACGGGGCUCGACUGAACUCAAUUGCGAGUCAGCACCACAUUCUAAUGUUGUUUGUUUCGCUAGCUUAUCCUUUCCUUAUGUUACGUGUUUUGAGUGCUACCCGAACAAUCAUUUUCUAAUGUUCAAGGCUGCUGAAUUAUGUUGCUAUUUGAAUGUGUUAUUAUAAAUUACA
Mya arenaria is the source of this 6577-nucleotide long non-coding RNA. RefSeq lists it as uncharacterized. NCBI's taxonomy places the organism in Eukaryota, Metazoa, Mollusca, Bivalvia, Myida, Myidae. The transcript is spliced from 3 exons. The record is from RefSeq and is a predicted model, not a curated record.